Molecule: long non-coding RNA, 447 nt
Organism: Homo sapiens (human)
Lineage: Eukaryota; Metazoa; Chordata; Mammalia; Primates; Hominidae
Exons: 3
Source: RefSeq, a predicted model, not a curated record
CAAAGGUUUUGAAUUCGAGAGCAGGUGCUCUCAUCUUUCCGAGAGUUAAGGCUGCUUUAAGGAUCUGAUAGAAGCUACUACAGGUCUUCUUCAGAAAAAUUCAAAUAUUCACAUACAGAUAUCUCAAUAAAUGAAGUUCAGUCCUGAGGUUACCAAGACCUGCUUGCCUGAAGUAACUUCUCAGGUUGGGUGAGAAUUGGCACGUAAAAAUUUUGCUGCCUGAUUUCCCCAUCACUUAUUACAGCUGGCAGAAAGUUCAUAAAAGAAUAGAGAUAACUGUCAAAGCACAUUAGCAGUUGCAAAGAAAGAGACAAAAGAAGAAUGCCACCAUUAUUAUUUAUAGUUGUUCACUGGGGUGAGUUGAGUUUUACUUUUUCCUACCUGAAAAGUGGAGAAAAUAUGUCAUCACUACAUAUUGCACUUAUAACCCCAUACUGCUGGGUUGUA